This 423-nucleotide ribosomal RNA is filed under the name activated sludge bacterium LB36. Its description in RNAcentral is "bacterial SSU rRNA". It matches the Rfam family "Bacterial small subunit ribosomal RNA", at positions 56 to 524 of the family's 1533-position model. The record is from RNAcentral.
UGCNAGUCGAGCGCAUCCUUCGGGAUGAGCGGCAGACGGGUGAGUAACGCGUGGGGAUGUGCCUUGAGGUGGGGAAUAACUGUGGGAAACUACAGCUAAUACCGCAUAAGCCCUUCGGGGGAAAGAUUUAUCGCCUUUAGAGCAACCCGCGUCAGAUUAGCUAGUUGGUAGGGUAAUGGCCUACCAAGGCGACGAUCUGUAGCUGGUCUGAGAGGAUGACCAGCCACACUGGGACUGAGACACGGCCCAGACUCCUACGGGAGGCAGCAGUGGGGAAUAUUGGACAAUGGGCGCAAGCCUGAUCCAGCCAUGCCGCGUGAGUGAUGACGGCCUUAGGGUUGUAAAGCUCUUUUAACAGGGACGAUAAUGACGGUACCUGUAGAAUAAGCCCCGGCAAACUUCGUGCCAGCACCCCGCGGUAAA